UGGUUUCUCUUCAAAUCCUAUAAAUCUUUUGUCUUUUGCUAAAGGUUUCCAUAAAGAGGAACAGUUUA
RNAcentral lists this small nuclear RNA (68 nucleotides) under Canis lupus dingo (dingo). RNAcentral describes it as "U5 spliceosomal RNA (ENSCAFG00020016717.1)". Lineage: Eukaryota; Metazoa; Chordata; Mammalia; Carnivora; Canidae. The record is from RNAcentral.